RNAcentral lists this long non-coding RNA (525 nucleotides) under Phasianus colchicus (ring-necked pheasant). RNAcentral's name for it is "lncRNA (ENSPCLG00000003028.1)". Lineage: Eukaryota; Metazoa; Chordata; Aves; Galliformes; Phasianidae. The record is from RNAcentral.
GCUGUGGGUUACUAGGAGUAGAGUCUAUUGUAGUAGUAAUGGGCCUUCCUAAGGCAAGGGUCAGCUGUAUGUAAACUUUCUCAAACUAGAACUGUGUGUUUUGAGACUGAUUGGAAAUGUCUCUCUUUCUACUGCUACAUUUUAAUGGAGGAGCAAUAUAGAAACAUAAGUAUUGUCUGUGUUAUCUAUUCUGUGCAUUCUGAGGGUUCAUGUUCUCAUCUAUGUCCUGAAUCUACAUGGGGAGUGCACUUGCAUGCUUAAGGUGGAUAUGAGAGAGCCUGAAGUGCCCAGAUUUCAGACAGCCUAUUAGCCCCUAGCCCCCGGGAGUGGACAGCAGUGAAGGUACUCAGGAUGCCCCCUGUUGCAUGGUGGAUGGUUGCUCUUCAAACUGUUGUGUCAUUAGGAAUGUCAAUGCAGAGGGCAGAUAUGCUGAAAUCAGGAAAGAUAUCUAAGAAGGCAUUUGAGAGAUCCUUUGUUUAUGAUAAGGAGAAGUUGUACAGUAUCUGCUUCAGCAAAUGGUACUAA